AGAUUGAACGCUGGCGGAAUGCUUUACACAUGCAAGUCGAACGGCAGCACGGGGGCAACCCUGGUGGCGAGUGGCGCACGGGUGAGUAAUACAUCGGAACGUAUCCUAGAGUGGGGGAUAGCCCGGCGAAAGCCGGAUUAAUACCGCAUACGCUCGAAAGAGGAAAGUGGGGGAUCGUAAGACCUCACGCCCAAGGAGCGGCCGAUGCCGGAUUAGCUUGUUGGUGAGGUAAAAGCUCACCAAGGCGACGAUCCGUAGCUGGUCUGAGAGGACGACCAGCCACACUGGGACUGAGACACGGCCCAGACUCCUACGGGAGGCAGCAGUGGGGAAUUUUGGACAAUGGGGAACCUGAUCAGCCAUUCCGCGUGAGUGAAGAAGGCCUUCGGUUG
RNAcentral lists this ribosomal RNA (392 nucleotides) under uncultured soil bacterium. RNAcentral's name for it is "bacterial SSU rRNA". It matches the Rfam family "Bacterial small subunit ribosomal RNA", at positions 26 to 425 of the family's 1533-position model. The record is from RNAcentral.